GAUGAACGCUGGCGGCGUGCCUAAUACAUGCAAGUCGAGCGAACAGACGAGGAGCUUGCUCCUCUGACGUUAGCGGCGGACGGGUGAGUAACACGUGGAUAACCUACCUAUAAGACUGGGAUAACUUCGGGAAACCGGAGCUAAUACCGGAUAAUAUAUUGAACCGCAUGGUUCAAUAGUGAAAGACGGUUUUGCUGGCACUUAUAGAUGGAUCCGCGCCGCAUUAGCUAGUUGGUAAGGUAACGGCUUACCAAGGCGACGAUGCGUAGCCGACCUGAGAGGGUGAUCGGCCCCACUGGAACUGAGACACGGUCCAGCCUCCUCCGGGCGGCCGCCGUCGGGCCUCUUCCUCCCUGGGCUCGCGCCUGCCGGCGCCCCGCCGCGUGCGUGCUGCCGGUCUUCGGAUCGUAAAACUCUGUUAUUAGGGAAGCCCCCCUGUGUCCGUCCCUCUGCCCGUCUUGCCGGUCCCUCCUCCGACCGCCCCGGCUCCCUCCGUG
This 497-nucleotide ribosomal RNA is filed under the name uncultured bacterium. Its description in RNAcentral is "partial 16S ribosomal RNA". It matches the Rfam family "Bacterial small subunit ribosomal RNA", at positions 28 to 507 of the family's 1533-position model. The record is from RNAcentral.